RNAcentral lists this non-coding RNA (75 nucleotides) under bovine gut metagenome. RNAcentral describes it as "Cyclic di-GMP-I riboswitch". It matches the Rfam family "c-di-GMP-I riboswitch aptamer", at positions 6 to 83 of the family's 87-position model. From Rfam's summary of the family: GEMM was predicted in a large-scale screen for bacterial structured RNA regulatory elements. Genes associated with GEMM are involved in a diverse array of functions, including chemotaxis regulation, signal transduction, secretion and chitin. The record is from RNAcentral. RNAcentral also lists the same sequence under 1 other name.
UUAAGGGCAAACUUAUAGAAAUGUAAGGACGCAAAGCUAGAAGUCUAAGGCAGGAAGCAUAGAUAGUUCGGUCGC